AACGAACGUUGGCGGCGUGGAUUAGGCAUGCAAGUCGUACGGGAUUCGGGGGCAACUCCGGAUUCAGUGGCGAACGGGUGAGUAACGCGUGGGAAACCUGCCUUCGAGAUGGGGGAUAACACUCCCAACGGGGUGCUAAUACCCGAUAAGACCACGGGGCCGCAUGGUCCUGAGGUCAAAGAUGGCCUCUACUUGUAAGCUAUCACUUGAAGAGGGUCCCGCGUCCCAUUAGCUAGUUGGUGGGGUAAUGGGCCCACCAAGGCGACGAUGGGUAGCUGGUCUGAGAGGAUGGUCAGCCACACUGGGACUGAGAUACGGCCCAGACUCCUACGGGAGGCUG
This 340-nucleotide ribosomal RNA is filed under the name uncultured Latescibacterota bacterium. RNAcentral's name for it is "bacterial SSU rRNA". It matches the Rfam family "Bacterial small subunit ribosomal RNA", at positions 29 to 351 of the family's 1533-position model. Lineage: Bacteria; Pseudomonadati; Candidatus Latescibacterota. The record is from RNAcentral.